CCCGUCACACCACGAGAGUUUGUAACACCCGAAGUCGGUAGGGUAACCUUUAUGGAGCCAGCCGCCGGAAGGUGGGACAGAUAAUUGGGGUGAAGUCGUAACAAGGUAGCCGUAUCGGAAGGUGCGGCUGGAUCACCUCCUUUCUAAGGA
RNAcentral lists this ribosomal RNA (150 nucleotides) under Listeria grayi FSL F6-1183. Its description in RNAcentral is "partial 16S ribosomal RNA". It matches the Rfam family "Bacterial small subunit ribosomal RNA", at positions 1393 to 1533 of the family's 1533-position model. Lineage: Bacteria; Bacillati; Bacillota; Bacilli; Caryophanales; Listeriaceae. The record is from RNAcentral.